RNAcentral lists this ribosomal RNA (484 nucleotides) under uncultured bacterium. RNAcentral describes it as "partial 16S ribosomal RNA". It matches the Rfam family "Bacterial small subunit ribosomal RNA", at positions 28 to 507 of the family's 1533-position model. The record is from RNAcentral.
AUUGAACGCUGGCGGCAUGCUUUACACAUGCAAGUCGAACGGCAGCGCGGGCUUCGGCCUGGCGGCGAGUGGCGAACGGGUGAGUAAUGCAUCGGAACGUGCCCAGUAGUGGGGGAUAGCCCGGCGACAGCCGGAUUAAUACCGCAUACGACCUGAGGGUGAAAGCGGGGGACCGAAAGGCCUCGCGCUAUUGGAGCGGCCGAUGUCGGAUUAGCUAGUUGGUGGGGUAAAGGCUUACCAAGGCGACGAUCCGUAGCUGGUCUGAGAGGACGACCAGCCACACUGGAACUGAGACACGGUCCAGACUCCUACGGGAGGCAGCAGUGGGGAAUUUUGGACAAUGGGGGCAACCCUGAUCCAGCCAUGCCGCGUGCGGGAAGAAGGCCUUCGGGUUGUAAACCGCUUUUGUUCGGGAAGAAAUCCUGUGGGCUAAUACCCCGGGGGGAUGACGGUACCGGAAGAAUAAGCACCGGCUAACUACGUG